This is a long non-coding RNA of Rhinolophus ferrumequinum (greater horseshoe bat), 455 nucleotides long. RefSeq lists it as uncharacterized. The record is from RefSeq and is a predicted model, not a curated record. NCBI's taxonomy places the organism in Eukaryota, Metazoa, Chordata, Mammalia, Chiroptera, Rhinolophidae. The transcript is spliced from 3 exons.
GCCUCUUCCAGCUCGUGCUGGAGCUUGCGGAACCUGGAGAGGUUGACGUUGGAUUGUUCCUCCUGAGAAUGAAUGGAAAUACAUUUAGGAGCGAAUAUGGUUCCGAAUUUCUAGUUUCUUAGAGGCCAGGGGAAAAACAAAAACCAUAAAUGAACAGAAGAACUAAUUUGUGAUAUAUAGGACCUGAGGGGCAAGGAAUGGUCACGAAAUUUAAUGGAGAAAGUUUGAUGGAAUGAAACUACUGUUCUGGCCACUUUCAAACAGAGUUGAGAUGAUUUUGGAAUGAAAAAUAAUUAUGAAUGAGAAGAGUAGAAACCACAGGACACUCCCUCCCUCCGCUACUCAUGGAGCAGGAGCUCCUGAGAACAGUCCUCAGAUGGUUUGAAUACCGUAAGGCACACUGAAAGUAGCAGGUUAUCUUUAAUCACAUUGGACACUGAGGCAAAAACUGGCAC